ACGUAGGGGGCGAGCGUUGUUCGGAAUUACUGGGCGUAAAGGGCGUGUAGGCGGCGCGGUAAGUUGGGCGUGAAAUCCCCGGGCUUAACCCGGGGGGUGCGUUCAGGACUGCCGUGCUAGGGUGCGGGAGAGGGAAGUGGAAUUCCCGGUGUAGCAGUGAAAGGCGUAGAUAUCGGGAGGAACACCUGCGGCGAAGGCGGCUUCCUGGACCGUAACCGACGCUGAGGCGCGAAAGCUAGGGGAGCAAACAG
RNAcentral lists this ribosomal RNA (251 nucleotides) under uncultured prokaryote. Its description in RNAcentral is "partial 16S rRNA". It matches the Rfam family "Bacterial small subunit ribosomal RNA", at positions 525 to 775 of the family's 1533-position model. The record is from RNAcentral.